GAUGAACGCUGGCGGCGUGCUUAACACAUGCAAGUCGAACGGGAAGUGGUGUUUCUUGUGGCGGACGGGUGAGUAACGCGUGAGAACCUGACCUUGGGAGGGGAACACUAACUGGAUACGGUUGCUAAUACACCGUAGGCCGAGGAGCAAAAGGUGGUAUGCGCCCGAGGGGGGGCUGGCGUCUGAGUGGCUAGGUGGUGUGGUAAUAGCUUACCAAGGUGAUGGACAGUAGCUGGUCCGAGGGGAUGAUCCGCCACACUGGGACGGAAACACGGCGCAGGCUCCGGCAGGCAGCAGCAGGGGGGAAUGCUCCGCAAGGGGCGACAGGCUGACGGAGCAAUGCGGCGUGGAUGUAGAAGGACCACGGGUCGAGAACUUUUGUUCUCGAAGAAGAAACAAUGACGGUAACUGAUGAAGAAGCAUCGGCUAACUCCGUG
Molecule: ribosomal RNA, 437 nt
Filed under: uncultured bacterium
Lineage: Bacteria
Description: partial 16S ribosomal RNA
Rfam family: Bacterial small subunit ribosomal RNA
Source: RNAcentral